Molecule: ribosomal RNA, 79 nt
Filed under: Cytobacillus kochii
Lineage: Bacteria; Bacillati; Bacillota; Bacilli; Caryophanales; Bacillaceae
Also listed under: 2 other names
Description: partial 16S ribosomal RNA
Rfam family: Bacterial small subunit ribosomal RNA
Source: RNAcentral
UUAUUGGAGAGUUUGAUCCUGGCUCAGGACGAACGCUGGCGGCGUGCCUAAUACAUGCAAGUCGAGCGAAUCUGAGGGA